AUUUUCACUGUCAUGAUCGUGUGCAGGAUUGGACAAAACAAGAUGGCAGACGGCAUUUCCAAACAAAGAUCCAGUCAGGAGCGGACUUCCUUAAGCUUAAAAGUUGCAAGUGAAUGAAGUGUGUUCUAUUUUAUGUCUCCUAAUAAAACCAUGGUUUUGACAAACCUAAAAGAGCACGUGGAGCAAGGAACUAUCAGUAAGCCGGAAGAGCCAGCUCGAAAAUCUUUACGUGUUUGAGAAUUGCACCGCGCACAUGAAUCUAAAGUUCUGCCACACGUUAGAAGGAGCCUUGUUCUCGAAGAUCAACAUGUUGAAAAGUCUUCAUUUUGCAGAUGCAAAUACAUUUAUAUUGUAUAUACACAUGUAGACCAUGUUCGAUUCCCAACCACUUAACGUUUGUGAUAUCUGCAUGGAAUUAUUAAACUGAGCAUGGUUUGACGUAUAAUAAUCUCUUCAGGCAUGAUGGUUUACAUUUCACAAAGCUGUUCAAUGACAAUAAAGACAAUAAGAUGU
Long non-coding RNA from Ostrea edulis (European flat oyster), 513 nucleotides. RefSeq lists it as uncharacterized. The transcript is spliced from 2 exons. The record is from RefSeq and is a predicted model, not a curated record. Lineage: Eukaryota; Metazoa; Mollusca; Bivalvia; Ostreida; Ostreidae.